Oxyura jamaicensis (ruddy duck) is the source of this 890-nucleotide long non-coding RNA. RefSeq lists it as uncharacterized. The transcript is spliced from 2 exons. The record is from RefSeq and is a predicted model, not a curated record. NCBI's taxonomy places the organism in Eukaryota, Metazoa, Chordata, Aves, Anseriformes, Anatidae.
CAUCUACAAUACGUGCAAAAUCUUUCUUUAAAACAGCUUCAUUACUGGCAGCAUUACCUACCGAAUCAGGAUCGGAGAAUGUGUGCUAGGAAACAAAAUAAACAUCCUUGCAAAUAGUGUAGCCCUGGUUUAUGAAGAGGAAUGAUUGCAUCUGUAACGUUUUUACUUUUUAAAUCUCAGUUUUCAAGGGGCGACGGGAAGUGAUGGCAAGUCGUGCAUUCAGAUGACUGUUCUUCUGUGUUCAGAGGGAGAGAACUAUGGAGACCUGCGAAGAAUGCUCGGGCUUUCUACUGAAAGAGUACACCACAUAAAUAUUUAUACCAGUCUUUGGAAAUAUGCUAAUCCAAGGCAAGUAAUUUUCCCUCUCUUAAAUAGAGUCAUAAAAAACAAUUAAGGUGAUUUAAUUACUGCCGAGCCCAGAGAACAGAUUUUGAACUCUGACAGAUGAACAUUCAUCACAGCGCCAUGUUAUGCUAACCCUAUAACACAAGUGUCUGAACAGAACAGACAAACCUUGAUCAUUUCCCCUACCUUCAUGCAGUACUUUGGGCAGAAUCCAGAUCCCAGGAAGUCAAUGGGAGCAGAAGCCAGACUUUUCAAGUUCUGACUGAAAGCCCCAGCUUUAAAUUAAACACAACUAGUUUGCAUGCAAGUUUGUAGUUCUUCAUGAUGCCAAAGUAAAUUUAACUUCACAGUCCUUUUCUGAAAUCAUUUCAAUCUAAAUUUAAACAUUAUUAUAAACUACAAAGAAAUGCUUAAAAGACAUUUAACUUUGAUGUCCUUCACAGUUACCCAAUAUAGAGGUUCAAUUGUUUUAAACUUUCUGGGUUUAUUCAUACUUAUAAAAUCCUUUGACGUCUGUCUCUCUGUUAUGCCCUUAAGGGCUUGGG